AUUUUUUUCUUUAUUUGAACAGAGAUAUUUUGAUUGGCAUUGUCCCUAUCACGUAAAACUAUAAUUUAUUUUGUUUAACAUGUCAUUUGUUGGAUUUAACACAUUGUAAUUUAAUAGUGUAUUUCUUUCUCUUUAACUUUCCCCCUCCCCAAAUAUCUCAUCACUCAUCAUUCCUGAGCAAAUAAUGAUUUAAAUAAAGCAGAAACAGAUAUUGCUUCCAUUCAGUAAGUGUGAGGCUGCUAGGGGUUUGGAAGCACUGAGUACACAAUCUCUGUAUAUUUAUUUUCUAGAUUCAUUGAUUGGGAUAGAAUUGCUACAUUAGAAUAAUCAUGUUAAAUAAGCCAUAUUUUAGAAGAUUUGCUCCAAGGCCUCCGUAUCCUGGAAAUUUUGGAUAUUUUCCAAGGGUUCCAUAUCCUCAAUUUCCUGGAUAUCCUCCAUAUCCAUAUGCAUAUUAUCAGAAUCCUGAAAAUCCUCCAUAUUAUGCAUAUCCUACAAAUGCCGAAAAUGCACCCCAAGAAGAACCUCAAUAAACACAGCUUUGCCUGGAACACUGACUCGAGGUGUCUGUGAAUCUACAAAUUGGUCAAUCUGCCCAUCUGCCUAGUUAUCAGCCUCUAUUAUUGAGCAACAGAUAGUUGCUCCAACCUUGUUAGAGUAAUAUGAAUCAUUCUUCCAAAGGACUGAUGCUCUCAUUUACACUCCCCAUAUAAUAAAUUCAGUUCACAGCUUAUUGAAUUUCUGUUG
Molecule: long non-coding RNA, 744 nt
Filed under: Phascolarctos cinereus (koala)
Lineage: Eukaryota; Metazoa; Chordata; Mammalia; Diprotodontia; Phascolarctidae
Description: lncRNA (ENSPCIG00000000778.2)
Source: RNAcentral